This 478-nucleotide ribosomal RNA is filed under the name uncultured bacterium. RNAcentral's name for it is "partial 16S ribosomal RNA". It matches the Rfam family "Bacterial small subunit ribosomal RNA", at positions 28 to 507 of the family's 1533-position model. The record is from RNAcentral.
GAUGAACGCUGGCGGCGUGCUUAACACAUGCAAGUCGAACGAGAAGUGAAGACGGAAACCUUCGGGCGGAAGGCUUUAUUUCGAGUGGCGGACGGGUGAGUAACGCGUGGGUAACCUGCCUCAUACAGGGGGAUAACAGUUGGAAACGACUGUUAAUACCGCAUAAGACCACAGCACCGCAUGGUGCGGGGGUAAAAACUCCGGUGGUAUGAGAUGGACCCGCGUUCGAUUAGCCAGUUGGCGGGGUAACGGCCCACCAAAGCGACGAUCGAUAGCCGAUCUGAGAGGAUGACCGGCCACAUUGGGACUGAGACACGGCCCAAACUCCUACGGGAGGCAGCAGUGGGGAAUAUUGCACAAUGGGGGAAACCCUGAUGCAGCGACGCCGCGUGAGUGAAGAAGUAUUUCGGUAUGUAAAGCUCUAUCAGCAGGGAAGAAAAUCACGGUACCUGAGUAAGAAGCCCCGGCUAACUACGUG